This 484-nucleotide ribosomal RNA is filed under the name uncultured bacterium. RNAcentral describes it as "bacterial SSU rRNA". It matches the Rfam family "Bacterial small subunit ribosomal RNA", at positions 29 to 514 of the family's 1533-position model. The record is from RNAcentral.
AUUGAACGCUGGCGGCGUGCUUAACACAUGCAAGUCGAUCGGUAACAGGUGUAGCAAUACAUGCUGACGAGAGGCGGACGGGUGAGUAAUGCUUGGGAAUCUGCCUAUUAGUGGGGGACAACCCGGGGAAACUCGGGCUAAUACCGCAUACGCUCUACGGAGGAAAGCCGGGGACCGCAAGGCCUGGCGCUAAUAGAUGAGCCCAAGUCGGAUUAGCUAGUUGGUAGGGUAACGGCCUACCAAGGCGACAAUCCGUAGCUGGUCUGAGAGGACGACCAGCCACACCGGAACUGAGACACGGUCCGGACUCCUACGGGAGGCAGCAGUAAGGAAUAUUGCGCAAUGGGCGAAAGCCUGACGCAGCGACGCCGCGUGGGGGAUGAAGGUCUUCGGAUUGUAAACCCCUUCGGGAGGGAAGAUGGAAUGGGGUAACCCAUUCGGACGGUACCUCCAGAAGCAGCCACGGCUAACUUCGUGCCAGCAG